AGUUUGAUCCUGGCUCAGGAUAAACGCUGGCGGCGUGCCUAACACAUGCAAGUCGAACGCGCUUUUGUCGCAAGAGAGAAGCGAGUGGCGGACGGGUGAGUAACACAUGGGUACCUACCCCACAGUGAGGGAUACCGGCGAGAAAUCGCCGACAAUACCGCAUAGGCUUGUUGCAAAACAAGCAAAGUUGCGCAAGCGACGCUGAGGGAUGGGCCUGUGGCCGAUUAGCUGGUUGGGGGGGUAAUGGCCUCCCAAGGCUGCGAUCGGUAGCUGGUCUGAGAGGACGAUCAGCCACACUGGGAUUGAGAACGGCCCAGACUCCUACGGGGGGCAGCAGUGAGGAAUUUUCCGCAAUGGAGGCAACUCUGACGGAGCAACGCCGCGUGCAGGACGAAGGUUUUCGGAUCGUAAACUGCUUUUCUCGGGGACGAGCAAGGACGGUACCCGAGGAAGAAGCCCCGGCUAACUACGUGCCAGCAGCCGCGGUAAUACGUAGGGGGCGAGCGUUGUCCGGAUUUAUUGGGCGUAAAGCGCACGCAGGCGGUGCGGUAAGUUUGGGGUGACAGCGUUCGGCUUAACCGGGCGAGUGUCCCAAAGACUGCCGCACUUGAGGGCCAAAGAGGAACACAGAAUUCCGGGUGUAGUGGUGAAAUGCGUAGAUAUCCGGAGGAAUACCAAAGGCGAAGGCAGUGUUCUGGGUGGCUCCUGACGCUCAGGUGCGAAAGCUAGGGGAGCGAACGGGAUUAGAUACCCCGGUAGUCCUAGCCGUAA
This 771-nucleotide ribosomal RNA is filed under the name uncultured bacterium. Its description in RNAcentral is "bacterial SSU rRNA". It matches the Rfam family "Bacterial small subunit ribosomal RNA", at positions 10 to 805 of the family's 1533-position model. The record is from RNAcentral.